CCGGGAUGCUCCAAAACCAUGAUCGCUAAAGCGCUAGCCAACGAGAGCCAGCUCAACUUCCUGUCCAUCAAGGGUCCAGAGUUACUGAGUAAAUAUGUGGGUGAAUCAGAGCGAGCGCUUCGAGAGGUUUUCCGGAA
Long non-coding RNA from Sinocyclocheilus rhinocerous, 137 nucleotides. RefSeq lists it as uncharacterized. Lineage: Eukaryota; Metazoa; Chordata; Actinopteri; Cypriniformes; Cyprinidae. The transcript is spliced from 3 exons. The record is from RefSeq and is a predicted model, not a curated record.